CAUCAUGGCGUCUGCCAUGAGCUCCUCUGUUCUCAGAGUGGACACAAUCGGCUCGGCUUUUUUCCAUUGUACUGCCAAAAUUCACCGAUUUCGAGCGCCAAAGGGAGCUUUUCAGAGGGAAUGCAGAGGACUUAGGUGUUUCUGCAGGGAGGACUUCUCCAGCUGCUUUGCUGAUUCCUACACAAAAGCCCAGCUCCCAUGGCAGAGGUCCUCCGAGGGGAAAGAACAAAGCUACAGGACACCAGAAACACCAUGAGCCAUCCAAAAACAUGAGGCAAAUGCUGAAAGAAUUGCUGCAGGGAGGACAAG
Long non-coding RNA from Passer domesticus (house sparrow), 309 nucleotides. RefSeq lists it as uncharacterized. The transcript has 3 exons. NCBI's taxonomy places the organism in Eukaryota, Metazoa, Chordata, Aves, Passeriformes, Passeridae. The record is from RefSeq and is a predicted model, not a curated record.